This 568-nucleotide ribosomal RNA is filed under the name Entrophospora lamellosa. RNAcentral's name for it is "SSU rRNA". It matches the Rfam family "Eukaryotic small subunit ribosomal RNA", at positions 548 to 1112 of the family's 1831-position model. The record is from RNAcentral. Lineage: Eukaryota; Fungi; Glomeromycota; Glomeromycetes; Entrophosporales; Entrophosporaceae.
UUGGAGGGCAAGUCUGGUGCCAGCAGCCGCGGUAAUUCCAGCUCCAAUAGCGUAUAUUAAAGUUGUUGCAGUUAAAAAGCUCAUAGUUGAAUUUCGGGAUUGACACGUCGGUCGUGCCUUAAGGGGUAUGAACUGGUGUAGUCAAUUUCUCACCUUCUGGAGAACCAUGAUGCCCUUAAUUGGGUGUCGCGGGGAACCAGGACCUUUACUUUGAAAAAAUUAGAGUGUUUAAAGCAGGCAUUUUGCUUGAAUACAUUAGCAUGGAAUAAUAAAAUAGGAUGGCAUGAUUCUAUUUUGUUGGUUUCUAGGAUCACCGUAAUGAUUAAUAGGGAUAGUUGGGGGCAUUAGUAUUCAAUUGUCAGAGGUGAAAUUCUUGGAUUUAUUGAAGACUAACUACUGCGAAAGCAUUUGCCAAGGAUGUUUUCAUUAAUCAAGAACGAAAGUUAGGGGAUCGAAGACGAUCAGAUACCGUCGUAGUCUUAACCAUAAACUAUGCCGACUAGGGAUCGGAUGAUGUUAAUUUUUUAAUGACUCAUUCGGCGCCUUACGGGAAACAAAGUGUNUGGGU